RNAcentral lists this ribosomal RNA (460 nucleotides) under uncultured bacterium. RNAcentral's name for it is "partial 16S ribosomal RNA". It matches the Rfam family "Bacterial small subunit ribosomal RNA", at positions 338 to 795 of the family's 1533-position model. The record is from RNAcentral.
CCUACGGGAGGCAGCAGUGAGGAAUAUUGGUCAAUGGGCGCGAGCCUGAACCAGCCAAGUCGCGUGAGGGAGGACGGCCCUACGGGUUGUAAACCUCUUUUGCCGGGGAGCAACGGGCGUCACGUGUGGCGCCCCUGCGAGUACCCGGAGUAAAAGCAUCGGCUAACGUCGUGCCAGCAGCCGCGGUAAUACGGAGGAUGCGAGCGUUAUCCGGAUUUAUUGGGUUUAAAGGGUGCGUAGGCGGUUCGGUAAGUCAGUGGUCAAAUUGAGGGGCUCAACCCCUUCCCGCCAUUGAAACUGGCGUUCUUGAGUGGAAGAGAAGUAUGCGGAAUGCGUGGUGUAGCGGUGAAAUGCAUAGAUAUCACGCAGAACCCCGAUGGCGAAGGCAGCAUGCCGGCUUCCGACUGACGCUGAAGCACGAAAGCGUGGGGAUCGAACAGGAUUAGAUACCCCUGUAGUC